UACGGAGGGAGCUAGCGUUGUUCGGAAUUACUGCGCGUAAAGCGCGCGUAGGCGGCUUUGUAAGUUAGAGGUGAAAGCCCGGGGCUCAACCCCGGAAUUGCCUUUAAGACUGCAUCGCUUGAAUCCGGGAGAGGUGAGUGGAAUUCCGAGUGUAGAGGUGAAAUUCGUAGAUAUUCGGAAGAACACCAGUGGCGAAGGCGGCUCACUGGACCGGCAUUGACGCUGAGGUGCGAAAGCGUGGGGAGCAAACAGG
RNAcentral lists this ribosomal RNA (253 nucleotides) under uncultured bacterium. RNAcentral's name for it is "partial 16S ribosomal RNA". It matches the Rfam family "Bacterial small subunit ribosomal RNA", at positions 524 to 776 of the family's 1533-position model. The record is from RNAcentral.